UUUCCACAGCGCGGGGGAACGGGAGGCUGCAGGAUGGUCAAGCUGACGGCGGAGCUGAUCGAGCAGGCGGCGCAGUACACCAACGCGGUGCGCGACCGGGAGCUGGACCUCCGGGGGUAUAAAAUUCCCGUCAUUGAAAAUCUAGGUGCUACGUUAGACCAGUUUGAUGCUAUUGAUUUUUCUGACAAUGAGAUCAGGAAACUGGAUGGUUUUCCUUUGUUGAGAAGACUGAAAACAUUGUUAGUGAACAACAACAGAAUAUGCCGUAUAGGUGAGGGACUUGAUCAGGCUCUGCCCUGUCUGACAGAACUCAUUCUCACCAAUAAUAGUCUCGUGGAACUGCUAUACUAUUCCUUGUCCCUGCAAAUUUUAUUUAAAGAGAUUUUCAGGGGCAGCUAGGAUAAAUGUACCUUCUUUCAAAAGACAGUAUACCUUUGUUGUUCUUAGACGCUGAAGCUGGCGCUAG
Molecule: long non-coding RNA, 466 nt
Filed under: Homo sapiens (human)
Lineage: Eukaryota; Metazoa; Chordata; Mammalia; Primates; Hominidae
Description: non-protein coding lnc-PCSK6-4:3
Source: RNAcentral